UUGAAAUCUGAGGCUUUCAGCCCCCGAGUUGUAAUUUGAAGAUGGUGUUCUGGUGCCGGCCCCCUGUCUACGUUCCUUGGAACAGGACAUCGCAGAGGGUGAGAAUCCCGUCUGGCGGGGCGGCCUGGCUCCGUGUAGAGCGCCAUCGACGAGUCGAGUUGUUUGGGAAUGCAGCUCUAAGUGGGUGGUAAAUUCCAUCUAAAGCUAAAUAUUGGCGAGAGACCGAUAGCGAACAAGUACAGUGAUGGAAAGAUGAAAAGAACUUUGAAAAGAGAGUGAAAAAGUACGUGAAAUUGUUGAAAGGGAA
Molecule: ribosomal RNA, 307 nt
Filed under: Williopsis jadinii
Lineage: Eukaryota; Fungi; Ascomycota; Saccharomycetes; Phaffomycetales; Wickerhamomycetaceae
Description: eukaryotic LSU rRNA
Rfam family: Eukaryotic large subunit ribosomal RNA
Source: RNAcentral